CGAACAAAACGCCGCUAUUCGGAUAUAACGAUGGAUUAUUUUGGACCAAACCAACAUUUGUUAUUGAAGUAGCAGUCCUGGGAGUGCAUUCUGACGAAGACAACAAAAGAGUUCCCAGUUUUCCUGAAAGCGCCAUAAAUACAGAAAUUGCCAGACUUUGAUGACUAAGUUUGAUGACAGUAUUUGCCCACGAAGGACCGCCGCGCCACAUUCCUGUUCAAGUGAGCACAGAACAACAAGGUGGCCAGGGUAACAACAUGGGAGCCUGUACUGGUGAACCAGCUACCCCCACCGAGCCAAGUCCCUGCAGACCUCGUUGACAAAUUUGAGAGACUAGCCUUGGUGGACUUCCGCAACCAGGAGGGAUUGGCCUGUCUGGAGAAAGCCAUCCGAUUUGCAGAUCAGCUCCAUGUUGUAGACACAGAGGGGGUUGACCCAA
This is a long non-coding RNA of Salmo salar (Atlantic salmon), 439 nucleotides long. RefSeq lists it as uncharacterized. The record is from RefSeq and is a predicted model, not a curated record. Lineage: Eukaryota; Metazoa; Chordata; Actinopteri; Salmoniformes; Salmonidae.